CCAGCCUGGGGUCCCGUCAGAGCAUGUUACUACUAAGUAUGGACAGAGUCCAGCAGUUCCUUCCACACCUGCUGUCCCCAGAGACCGCCUCUUUGCUCCCUCUGAAGCUCUGGGAUGCCUAAAUCCUGGAAAGCAAGCACGUGCUCACAGCCAUGGCAUUCACGAUCCUCAAGGUGCACAGCAGCAAGUGAGCUCACGGGAGCCCAGGUGUGCAUGAGGGUGGGGAGCGGGUCACAGCCCACUGCUCUAACCAGUGCACAUGCCUCGGAGGAGGGAGGGUUGGCUGGGCAGAGCCCUCUGCAGAGAAGCAUCGGGCAUAGGGCCUCCCCCUGCCACUGCACUGCCUGCAGAACUCCUGGGAACAGCUGGACCCCCAGAAGCUAUCCCCAGGAGGUGCCCUGGAGUGGAAACGUGGGGCCUCUCUGCAUCUGAUUCCCACCUAUUGCCCAGAACAUCUUCUGAAGCUGCCCUGAAGCGGAAAGGUCUUCAGAAGUUUCUGCAGGACACAUUGUCCCAGACCUGGUCCUGGAGGAUGAAGGGGUACUCAGGCACACUCGGACCUCCAUGGCCGAACUGCGAAGGAUGCAGUGCAACCUUGUCCCCCUUAGUGGAACCUGAAGAGUUUGCCGCCAUCAUGCUCCCAGUCCUGCAGCAAGUGUCCCAAGCUCCCAGACCUCUCCUCCCUUCUCCUAGCAUUGAGACUCCCCAGAGUGGACGGGUUGGCCUCCUCCAGUCCAGCCACCCAACAGGAGCAGCCUGGACCCCCCUUCUAGCCAGGUCAUCCUCAAGGCCGAGGAGCAGCUUCAGGAGGGAACCUCCACAGAGCCCACAGCUGUGCACCUGUGUCUGGGCGCCUCAGGGGCUGAGGUUCGAGACUAUCUGCCACCAGCUCAGGACCCCUUGCUGGCCUGGUUUCCCCCACAGUGAUGGAAUUCCCUCUCCAACUUGCCAGUGAACUCGGAAGUUAUUGGCAGGUGGCUCCCAGAUGUGACCUUGAAGCCAGAACACUUGGUCCCCCUUCCCUUAAUCACCUGCCUGGGCUACCUUAGGGGCACACAACAGAGCUGUCCCCAGAACCCCACCUGGAUUCCUGUGAGGGGCUCCACCCAGCCCACUAAAGGUGAAGCUGUAGAGCCCAGGAUGCCCUUUCUGCCACCAUAGCCCAUACCUCUCUCAGGGUAUGGAGUGGGUCCUCAACACUUUCUGCACAGCCAAGACAGAGCUGGAGCAGAACUCAGUGAGCUGCCCCAGGGCUCAGCACAUGUGCAUAGCCCUCUGACCUCUAUGUCCACAGAGAAGCUAGAUGUUCACCUGCUUCUGGAAGAGAGGCACAAACCGAGCACAGGGGCCCUGAGGCUCCAGUAAGCCGGCAUAUUGGCCUUCCUACAGGACAGCACCCCACAGAAGGCCCAAGUCCCUGAGCCAGAGGGGCAUGGCCUGGCCCUGGGCUCCAGGGAUGGUGGGUAGAGAUGACAUGAGUCCCCGCCCAAUAAGAAUGAAAACUGAUAAGACCAAGCCCCUACCCCAUGACCCUAGCCAGUCGUGGAUUCUGGCCCAAGGCUGGACAUGCACUCUCAGAGCUGUAUGUGGACCUAGAUAUGCCUCACACACCCACUUCUCUGACUUAGGGCAGCACAGGGAGCAACAGGUUACCCCAGCGAAGGGGUAGCCAACACAGGCAGGUGGGACCCACACUCACUCACACAAGGAGGCAGGUUCCCCAGUGCUGGGCAUCUUGCAGUUCGUGUCCUGGCACCAAGGGACACCAAGGAGGCCGAGGCCAAGGCCAGGCUGACAUACAGGGGCCUGCUUGGGACCCCAAAAGCUGCAGUCCCAGGUCCGGCCUGAGGAUGCUGGCAGGUUUGGACCAGGCAGGCCGAGACCAUCACUCUGCCAUCCUCAGCAACUGCAUCUCGGGGACCCCAAACUCAGGAAAUGUGCUGUCACGUGGAGUCAGAAGUCUCCCAAGGUGGGGGUCUCUAGCUCCCACGCCCCCUUGUGAUUUCAGCACCCCGAAAGGAGAAAAAGGGCUCUGUCCCAGGGGAAAAGCACAAACCCUUGACUCAGAGACUUUCUUUGCUGUUGAAAGUUCAAUAAAGCGUUUCUGUGUUAAAAAAAAGUCAGCCUGUUCUUGCAGAUCCCAGAGCUCUGUGCAAGAAGGGCCAGACAGCCACCCAGAAAGGAAAAGGGUGGCACCGCCCAGGCUACCUGCCCAGCCCCUGCCAGGUUCCCCUGCACAGGGGACUUCAGGCAAAGUAAGCUGAGGGUUCCCUGUGCCUUCC
Long non-coding RNA from Mustela putorius furo (domestic ferret), 2282 nucleotides. The record is from Ensembl. Lineage: Eukaryota; Metazoa; Chordata; Mammalia; Carnivora; Mustelidae.